UCCCUAGCUUGCUGCCAAUACAAUGGAAAAAAAAAAAAAGAAAGAAAAAAAAAGGGGGGGGGGGGGAAAGCCAACCUACUGCUCAGUGCUCAAAUGGCCUUGAGUUUGUAUGAGGAAAUGAAAUGAAAUGAAAUGAAAUGGCCAUCUUCCAGCUCUGCUGUGGGAACUGAAGAAACUGUUUCUUUGCUUAGUGCUUGUCAGACUCAUCUCUAAAAUAGGUAUUUUUCCCCAAAAAAAGUUAUUUACAUCAAGAUGCCUGGUCCAAGUUGACUUUCUGUAACGAGUUCUUUUCAAUUUAAAAGUUUAAGUUGGGUGGAGGGGGGUGCAAACAGGAGAGAAAAUGAGAGGAUCCUUCAGAUGUUAGUGAGAGGUUCUGCUCCGCAAACACCUCCCUGUGUGUUUAGACGGACAACUUUUAUGUGCAGACAGUGAGACUGCCCAUGCUGCAGACACUGAGGGGGCUCGCAAGUCGCAGGCUGCCGGCAGAAAGGCAUGCCUGCAGACCCAGUUACACAGCACACCUUCUCCAUACGGCAAGCAGAUGAGCUGACUGGUAAUUUCCUUUUUCCCUUUUCAGUGUCAUGAAACUCAGAGGCGAUCAGAGAGGCAAAGGUAAAUAACAGAUAAAUCCCAGACACUUCUUCUUCCAAGAAACCUCACAGAUCUAGGCUAAAUUUUCUGAGAUGCUCUCUCUGGCUUUGAGAAGCGGUGCAGAUUGCCUCACAAUUCUGUACUGUUCCCUUGUCUUUUCUUUCCAGGACACCAGGACACAUGGGUGCUACUGAGCAGUGACUGAAACCCAAGACCUGCCGCAGCAUGACACUGGUCCCGGCCGUAGACCGUGAAAUGGGAUGGCCGAGUAUUUGCACGAGGAAGCACUGCCCGGAGCCCAGGACACAAAUCUGCACGGCAGUAAGUUAUCUCAGAGCUGCAGUUCAUAAGUGGAGGAUCUUGUUCCAUGACAUAAUAAAAGCCAGGGUCUGGUGA
RNAcentral lists this long non-coding RNA (987 nucleotides) under Anser cygnoides (Swan goose). RNAcentral describes it as "lncRNA (ENSACDG00005002988.1)". The record is from RNAcentral. Lineage: Eukaryota; Metazoa; Chordata; Aves; Anseriformes; Anatidae.